GACGAACGCUGGCGGCGUGCUUAACACAUGCAAGUCGAACGGAAAGACCCUGCGUUUGUGGGGUGCUCGAUUGGCGAACGGGUGAGUGACACGUGAGUAACCUGCCCUUGACUUUGGGGUAACUUCAGGAAACUGGGGCUAAUACCGCGUAGGAGCUCCUGCUGCAUGGUGGGGGUUGGAAAAUUUCGGCGGUUCGGGCUGGACUCGCGGCUUAUCAGCUUGUUGGUGUGGUAGUGGCUUACCAAGGCUUUGAAGGGUAGCCGGCCUGAGAGGGGGACCGGCGACAUUGGGACUGAGAUACGGCCCAGACUGCUACGGGAGGCAGCAGUGGGGAAUAUUGCACAAUGGGCGCAAGUCUGAUGUAGCAACGCCGCGUGCGGGAUGACGGCUUUCGGGUUGUAAACCGCUUUCGCCUGUGACGAAGCGUGAGUGACGGUAAUGGGUAAAGAAGCACCGGCUAACUACGUG
RNAcentral lists this ribosomal RNA (468 nucleotides) under uncultured bacterium. RNAcentral describes it as "partial 16S ribosomal RNA". It matches the Rfam family "Bacterial small subunit ribosomal RNA", at positions 28 to 507 of the family's 1533-position model. The record is from RNAcentral.